CAGUAGCCGCGGUAAAACGAAGGGGGCUAGCGUUGUUCGGAAUCACUGGGCGUAAAGGGUGCGUAGGCGGAUUCUUAAGUCAGGGGUGAAAUCCCGAGGCUCAACCUCGGAACUGCCUUUGAUACUGGGGAUCUUGAGUCCGGAAGAGGUGAGUGGAACUGCGAGUGUAGAGGUGAAAUUCGUAGAUAUUCGCAAGAACACCGGUGGCGAAGGCGGCUCACUGGUCCGGAACUGACGCUGAGGCACGACAGCGUGGGGAGCAAACAGGAUUAGAUACCCCCGUAGUCCCUGUCUCUUAUAC
This 301-nucleotide ribosomal RNA is filed under the name uncultured bacterium. RNAcentral's name for it is "partial 16S ribosomal RNA". It matches the Rfam family "Bacterial small subunit ribosomal RNA", at positions 509 to 807 of the family's 1533-position model. The record is from RNAcentral.